GUCAGGAUAGCUCAGUUGGUAGAGCAGAGGACUGAAUCUCUG
RNAcentral lists this transfer RNA (42 nucleotides) under Dupontia fisheri. RNAcentral describes it as "partial tRNA-Phe". The record is from RNAcentral. Lineage: Eukaryota; Viridiplantae; Streptophyta; Magnoliopsida; Poales; Poaceae.